Molecule: long non-coding RNA, 731 nt
Organism: Brassica oleracea var. oleracea
Lineage: Eukaryota; Viridiplantae; Streptophyta; Magnoliopsida; Brassicales; Brassicaceae
Exons: 2
Source: RefSeq, a predicted model, not a curated record
UGUAACGGGAAAGUGGAGAAAUUGUUGAUGAUAUUUGAGUACAUGCGGAAGAGAGAAAUGGAUGUUAGUAUUGUUACGUAUACUAUUGUGAUUCAAGGGAUGUGCAAGGUUGAUAAGGUGGAAGAUGCUUUUGAUUUGUUCUGUAGCCUUUUCUCCAAGGGAAUGAAGCCUACUGUUGUAACGUACACUACAAUGAUAACGAGAUUUUGUAGGCGGGGACUAAUCCAUGAAGCUGAUGCGUUGUUUAGGAAAAUGAAACAAGAUGGCUUCUUACCAAAUGAGCGUGUGUCUUAAGUAGGUGACAUCGGGAGUUGAACUCAUGCUGAGUUAGAGAUACCAUGAUGCUUUUGAUCUCAAGCAGUUUCGGGAGAGGACACACAGGUUAUAGUAUAUAUCAGGUGUAGUUUAGAUUUGCCAUACGUCGACAGCUACAUGAGUUCUGUAAUGAUUCAUGGUACAAGGAGAUGGCAUGUUGACAGUUUUUUUUUCGUUGAAGACUUGUUUCUAUCUUCAAGGUGCUGCAUUAUUGAAGUGGAAUAGUAUUCUCUAGAAAUAUAAUCAAUGUAUAGAUAGAUAGACGAGAAGGUAUAUGUGUGUAGGACAUGUAAAGAUUGGUCAAGAAGCUUGUUGAGCUUUGUGUCUUAUGAAUCUCUCUACUGGUGUAAAGGGAUUUAGAUUUUGUGAAGAAAUCCUUUUGGACUUUAAUGAAUGUAAACUACGACAUUAUUAUC